This is a long non-coding RNA of Hyposmocoma kahamanoa, 750 nucleotides long. RefSeq lists it as uncharacterized. The transcript is spliced from 3 exons. NCBI's taxonomy places the organism in Eukaryota, Metazoa, Arthropoda, Insecta, Lepidoptera, Cosmopterigidae. The record is from RefSeq and is a predicted model, not a curated record.
CUGCCACGCAGAGCUCCCAGUUGGGUACGGCUCUCAAGAGCGGCCUUUACAUCGAGAGGUAUUUAGCUAAACGUGUCGAUGCAGUGAAACGCUGAGAGCGAAAUGCGGUUUCCAUUGUCGGCGGAACUGCACGUGAAGAUUCCGAUACGCUUGCGCCGCUUCCAGUGCGGCUGUAGAGUUUGGUGUAUUCUAGGUUUCAGUAGUACAUUGUAGAUUGUUAUGUAAGGAGUCAAGAUUGAAAAUUAAGGAAAGACGAAGGAAAGUGCUUCGAGCGGAUCUACGAAUUACUUUGAAGAGUUUAAAAGAGAAAUCUGGAGUAAGAAAUGUAAAUAAAUACAGAGUAAACAACAAAUCAACCGUCACACACGUUGCUCUAAUCCCAAAGUAAGAAACUAAAGCCCUUGUGUUAUUGAAAUCGGAAAACGACGUUGUCACAAACACCCAGACCCGAAACAAUAUAGAAAAAAUAGUUUAUCUACAUUGACGCGGUUGGGGUUCGAACCCGGAACCUCUGAGAUGGCAACAUCAUGAAAACCUGUGUGCAGGCCCACAUCGGAAAUCUAAUCUCAAUAAUCAGUAGCACAGCAUAAGGAACAUGAGAGCAUGAACCCCUGCCAAAUAUUCGUCUCGCAAUGUGCAUAAUCCGUUUUGGCUACGGCAAUUGCGCGUGCGCGGCACACUGCUCUAGAAACGCGCAAAGCGGCGCCGGUGCACGCGAUCUGCGAUGGUGAUAGAUUGGAGACCGGUGUU